This 2929-nucleotide ribosomal RNA is filed under the name Leclercia sp. J807. RNAcentral describes it as "23S ribosomal RNA". It matches the Rfam family "Bacterial large subunit ribosomal RNA". The record is from RNAcentral. Lineage: Bacteria; Pseudomonadati; Pseudomonadota; Gammaproteobacteria; Enterobacterales; Enterobacteriaceae.
GGGUUGUGAGGUUAAGCGACUAAGCGUACACGGUGGAUGCCCUGGCAGUCAGAGGCGAUGAAGGACGUGCUAAUCUGCGAAAAGCGCCGGCGAGGUGAUAUGAACCCUUGACCCGGCGAUGUCCGAAUGGGGAAACCCAGUGUGAUUCGUCACACUAUCGUUAGCUGAAUACAUAGGCUAACGAGGCGAACCGGGGGAACUGAAACAUCUAAGUACCCCGAGGAAAAGAAAUCAACCGAGAUUCCCCCAGUAGCGGCGAGCGAACGGGGAGCAGCCCGGAGUCUGAAUCAGCUUGUGUGUUAGUGGAAGCGUCUGGAAAGUCGCAGGGUACAGGGUGAUACUCCCGUACACGAAAGCACACAUGCUGUGAACUCGAAGAGUAGGGCGGGACACGUGGUAUCCUGUCUGAAUAUGGGGGGACCAUCCUCCAAGGCUAAAUACUCCUGACUGACCGAUAGUGAACCAGUACCGUGAGGGAAAGGCGAAAAGAACCCCGGCGAGGGGAGUGAAAAAGAACCUGAAACCGUGUACGUACAAGCAGUGGGAGCACCUUCGGGUGUGACUGCGUACCUUUUGUAUAAUGGGUCAGCGACUUAUAUUCUGUAGCAAGGUUAACCGUAUAGGGGAGCCGGAGGGAAACCGAGUCUUAACUGGGCGUUAAGUUGCAGGGUAUAGACCCGAAACCCGGUGAUCUAGCCAUGGGCAGGUUGAAGGUUGGGUAACACUAACUGGAGGACCGAACCGACUAAUGUUGAAAAAUUAGCGGAUGACCUGUGGCUGGGGGUGAAAGGCCAAUCAAACCGGGAGAUAGCUGGUUCUCCCCGAAAGCUAUUUAGGUAGCGCCUCGUGAAUUCAUCCUCGGGGGUAGAGCACUGUUUCGGCUAGGGGGCCAUCCCGGCUUACCAACCCGAUGCAAACUGCGAAUACCGAGGAAUGUUAUCACGGGAGACACACGGCGGGUGCUAACGUCCGUCGUGAAGAGGGAAACAACCCAGACCGCCAGCUAAGGUCCCAAAGUCAUGGUUAAGUGGGAAACGAUGUGGGAAGGCACAGACAGCCAGGAUGUUGGCUUAGAAGCAGCCAUCAUUUAAAGAAAGCGUAAUAGCUCACUGGUCGAGUCGGCCUGCGCGGAAGAUGUAACGGGGCUAAACCAUGCACCGAAGCUGCGGCAGCGACACUAUGUGUUGUUGGGUAGGGGAGCGUUCUGUAAGCCUGCGAAGGUGUGCUGUGAGGCAUGCUGGAGGUAUCAGAAGUGCGAAUGCUGACAUAAGUAACGAUAAAGCGGGUGAAAAGCCCGCUCGCCGGAAGACCAAGGGUUCCUGUCCAACGUUAAUCGGGGCAGGGUGAGUCGACCCCUAAGGCGAGGCCGAAAGGCGUAGUCGAUGGGAAACAGGUUAAUAUUCCUGUACUCGGUGUUACUGCGAAGGGGGGACGGAGAAGGCUAUGUUGGCCGGGCGACGGUUGUCCCGGUUUAAGCAUGUAGGCGGAGGUUCCAGGUAAAUCCGGUACCUUUUAACGCUGAGGUGUGAUGACGAGGCACUACGGUGCUGAAGCAACAAAUGCCCUGCUUCCAGGAAAAGCCUCUAAGCAUCAGGUAACAUCAAAUCGUACCCCAAACCGACACAGGUGGUCAGGUAGAGAAUACCAAGGCGCUUGAGAGAACUCGGGUGAAGGAACUAGGCAAAAUGGUGCCGUAACUUCGGGAGAAGGCACGCUGAUAUGUAGGUGAAGCCCCUGCGGGUGGAGCUGAAAUCAGUCGAAGAUACCAGCUGGCUGCAACUGUUUAUUAAAAACACAGCACUGUGCAAACACGAAAGUGGACGUAUACGGUGUGACGCCUGCCCGGUGCCGGAAGGUUAAUUGAUGGGGUUAGCUGUAAGGCGAAGCUCUUGAUCGAAGCCCCGGUAAACGGCGGCCGUAACUAUAACGGUCCUAAGGUAGCGAAAUUCCUUGUCGGGUAAGUUCCGACCUGCACGAAUGGCGUAAUGAUGGCCAGGCUGUCUCCACCCGAGACUCAGUGAAAUUGAAAUCGCUGUGAAGAUGCAGUGUACCCGCGGCAAGACGGAAAGACCCCGUGAACCUUUACUAUAGCUUGACACUGAACACUGGUCCUUGAUGUGUAGGAUAGGUGGGAGGCUUUGAAGUGUGGACGCCAGUCUGCAUGGAGCCGUCCUUGAAAUACCACCCUUUAAUGGCUGGUGUUCUAACGUGGACCCGUUACCCGGGUUGCGGACAGUGUCUGGUGGGUAGUUUGACUGGGGCGGUCUCCUCCUAAAGAGUAACGGAGGAGCACGAAGGUCAGCUAAUCCUGGUCGGACAUCAGGAGGUUAGUGCAAUGGCAUAAGCUGGCUUGACUGCGAGAGUGACGGCUCGAGCAGGUGCGAAAGCAGGUCAUAGUGAUCCGGUGGUUCUGUAUGGAAGGGCCAUCGCUCAACGGAUAAAAGGUACUCCGGGGAUAACAGGCUGAUACCGCCCAAGAGUUCAUAUCGACGGCGGUGUUUGGCACCUCGAUGUCGGCUCAUCACAUCCUGGGGCUGAAGUAGGUCCCAAGGGUAUGGCUGUUCGCCAUUUAAAGUGGUACGCGAGCUGGGUUUAGAACGUCGUGAGACAGUUCGGUCCCUAUCUGCCGUGGGCGCUGGAGAAUUGAGGGGGGCUGCUCCUAGUACGAGAGGACCGGAGUGGACGCAUCACUGGUGUUCGGGUUGUCAUGCCAAUGGCACUGCCCGGUAGCUAAAUGCGGAAGAGAUAAGUGCUGAAAGCAUCUAAGCACGAAACUUGCCCCGAGAUGAGUUCUCCCUGACCCUUUAAGGGUCCUGAAGGAACGUUGAAGACGACGACGUUGAUAGGCCGGGUGUGUAAGCGCAGCGAUGCGUUGAGCUAACCGGUACUAAUGAACCGUGAGGCUUAACCUUACAACGCCGAAGCUGUU